CGUGUAGGCGGAUACUUUAGUCGGUUGUGAAAUCCCUGGGCUUAACCUAGGAAUUGCAGUCGAUACUGGGUGUCUUGAGUAUGGUAGAGGAAAGUGGAAUUCUCGGUGUAGUGGUUAAAUACGUAGAUAUCGAGAGGAACAUCAGUGGCGAAGGCGACUUUCUGGCCCAAUACUGACGCUGAGGCGCGAAAGCGUGGGGAGCAAACAGGAUUAGAUACCCUGGUAGUCC
Molecule: ribosomal RNA, 229 nt
Filed under: uncultured bacterium
Lineage: Bacteria
Description: partial 16S ribosomal RNA
Rfam family: Bacterial small subunit ribosomal RNA
Source: RNAcentral